This 253-nucleotide ribosomal RNA is filed under the name uncultured bacterium. RNAcentral's name for it is "partial 16S ribosomal RNA". It matches the Rfam family "Bacterial small subunit ribosomal RNA", at positions 524 to 776 of the family's 1533-position model. The record is from RNAcentral.
UACGUAGGUUCCGAGCGUUAUCCGGAUUUACUGGGCGUAAAGCGCGUUCAGGCGGUUUGACAAGUCGGGCAUGAAAUCUCUCGGCUCAACCGGGAGAGGUUGUCCGAUACUGCUGGACUGGAGGGCAGUAGAGGGUGGUGGAAUUCCGGGUGUAGUGGUGAAAUGCGUUGAUAUCGGAAGGAACUCCGGCGGCGAAAGCGAUGCACUGGCUGGUUUCUGACGCUGAGGUGCGAAAGCCAGGGGAGCAAACGGG